RNAcentral lists this ribosomal RNA (253 nucleotides) under uncultured bacterium. Its description in RNAcentral is "partial 16S ribosomal RNA". It matches the Rfam family "Bacterial small subunit ribosomal RNA", at positions 524 to 776 of the family's 1533-position model. The record is from RNAcentral.
UACGUAGGGUGCGAGCGUUAAUCGGAAUUACUGGGCGUAAAGCGUGCGCAGGCUGUUUUGUAAGUCAGAUGUGAAAUCCCCGAGCUCAACUUGGGAACUGCGUUUGAAACUACAAGACUAGAAUAUGUCAGAGGGGGGUAGAAUUCCACGUGUAGCAGUGAAGUGCGUAGAGAUGUGGGGGAAUACCAAUGGCGAAGGCAGCCCCCUGGGAUAAUAUUGACGCUCAUGCACGAAAGCGUGGGGAGCAAACAGG